RNAcentral lists this long non-coding RNA (9756 nucleotides) under Coffea arabica (coffee). RNAcentral's name for it is "long non-coding RNA (CARA_LNC006667)". Lineage: Eukaryota; Viridiplantae; Streptophyta; Magnoliopsida; Gentianales; Rubiaceae. The record is from RNAcentral.
CCAGGAUCGGUAUCUCUCUCCUGGUUGCUUGAAGUUGUUCUCCUUCUGAAUCACACACUGCAAUAAACAAAAAAAUAAAUAAAUAAGCCACAUAUUUUAGGGUCACAUCAUAUCAUAGUUCACCAAUCCAAAGGUCCAGCAGGACCAAAGACAGUUCCAAAAUUCAAAGAGAAAUUCCAAUCCAUCAGCUAAGAACAAGGCACUUGAGGAGAAGGCAUGGAGACCUCCAAAGAUCCCAUGCAAGAAAAGAAACUAUAGCAAGCAACAUUAGCAGAAAAAGCAAUAGCUCAAUGGCUGGCAUCCAUAGUUUGCUCACAGGAAAACAGAUAAUGUCACGUUCAAGAAAGGGAGUAACUUCUACUCGUUAAUGUUCAGUAUAUCGCUUCAAAGGAGGACAGUUUGCAGCAGAGCAACUAAGGGCCUGUUCUCAAAUAAUUCCAAAUACCUGAUUUUAGCUUUUGAUUCUUAAGAAGUUAGUUCUCUCUGUUGUCAAUUGCCUUUUAAAACCUGCUUUUGGUUUUUUUGGAGCAAAAUAGAUGAAAAUCAGAAGUGGCAAAACAGCUGCUUUUGGUACCAAUUCUGCUUCUGAAAACUAGAAGCGAUUGAGAACAAACCAUAAAAAUUCAAGAACUUUUUCACUUUCUUCCUCCUACUCAUCUACAUGCCCACUCUCCUAUUUUAGGAGAGAGGAGGGGAAGGGAGCGAAGAAGCAAAGAUUAUGUAUCGUCUAUUCUUCAAAUCCCAAGAUGAAGUUAUUACGACAACCGAUUUCCCCAGAUUUGAUUAACUGCGUAAAGUUAUCAAUUUUUUUCCAUAGUUCCUUCGUCUAGAUUCAAAAAAGUUCAAUUUUUUCCUACUCAUAGAAACUCACCUUGUCACGCUUUCCACUCAGGACAGGAGGGGGGAUGGGAUGCCUCUCAGCAUGACGAACAGGAUCGUACCUUGAAGGGAAAUAAUUGACCUGAAAAAAACAUUGAACAAAAAAGUUUAGCACAACUAAGCAUAAGAUUAGCCCAUUUUAACUCCCAUUCACAAAGUCCCUAAGCCCAAAAAAAAAAACCCUGAAGUGAUUUAAUUGUAAAGCAACCACACAACAAAGUUUGAAAAAGGGAAUGGGUACUACUUCUGGCAUUUUUUCAUUUUUCAAACUGACCUCUAUGCCUUGAGUCAUGACAAUAUGUUAUAAGAUAGCUUUCCACUCAACUCUUAUUUGCCCACUAAUUCUUCACAACUUAUUUAUUUCACACAAAGAAUUUCCUUUUUCACAGUACAUAAAAAUGAAGAACAUCGAUCUAUCUGUCGGUGACUUCUUAUCUCCAAUCUUGAACAUCUACAAGUCUUCAUAUCAACCACCAAGUUUAUAUUCACAACCACCUCAUGUCACAAAAAUGGUAUCUAAUGAAAAGUUACUUUAUACCAGCAACCGGUCAUAGAUAAUUAUAUUUACUAAAUCACAUAAAAUGUAACCUUAAAUGCUGAGUUGAACCAGGAAACUAACUGGUAUAAAGAACAAGCAGGAUGUCCUCAAAAUGAAGACCAAAUUAGAGAACGACGCAUAAUUUGUGGUUCAUUAUUACCAAAAGAGGGAUCAGUACCUCUUCAUCCCGGUGCAUGAAGUUCAUGAAACCAUCAUGGUGAUUGUUGUGAUGAGCACACUUGGGAGCAUUUGCUGGAAGCUGCAGAUAGUUCGGGCCAAGACGGUGUCGCUGGGUAUCAGCAUAUGAGAAUAUGCGAGUCUGGAGCAGCUUGUCAUCUGAAUAAUAUAUUCCAGGUACAAUAAUAGCAGGGCAAAAUGCAAGCUGCUCGUUCUCAGCAAAGAAGUUGUCAAUAUUCUUGUUCAAUACCAACCGGCCCACAGGUUGCAAAGGCAAAAUAUCUUCAGGCCAGGUCUUGCUUACAUCAAGCGGAUCAAAAUCAAACCGAUCUUCAUGAUCAGGAUCCAUAAUCUGGAUAAAAAGUUUCCACUCCGGAUAGUUUCCAGCAGCAAUUGAGUCAUAGAGAUCCUGGGUAGCAUGGCUAUGAUUUGAUCCUCCAACCUUAAUAGCUUCUUCCUCCAACAGGCUCUUCACUCCACAGGUUGGCUUCCAGUGGAACUUCACAUAACUAGCUUUUCCAGCCUUGUCGAUCAGAGUGUAAGUAUUGACGCCAAAGCCUUCCAUAUGCCUGUAAUCUUGUGGAAUGCCGACAUCAUCAAAGAGGAAAGUAAACAUAUGCAAGCUCUCAGGAUGAUGGGAGAAAAAAUCAAGGAUUCUCCAAUUCUCCUGGAUGUGGGACUUUGGAUUCGGUUUCAGAGCAUGGACCAUAUCUGGGAAUUUCAUUCCAUCACGAACAAAAAAGACAGGGAAAUUGUUUCCCACCAAAUCGAAAUUACCCUAUCCAGAUGCACAAAGAAACCAUCAGCAGCUUAUCAAGAGUUACCAAGAAAUGCAGACCAAGAACUAAAUAAAACACCAACCACAUAAUCCAAGUCCCCUAAGAUCAUCUAUUGUGCCCGGAAAGCUUAUGUUCCUAGUUGUGGUGCUUACAAGUUAAUUGAAUGGAUAAGCUGCAUCUUGCUGCUAAAUCAACAUACGCUUUCAGAAGGGGAAGCUCCCAAUUUUCAGAAUGCCAAAGUGUGCUAAGUGUGGGGUGGAGGGCAACAAAGUUAGGACAACUAUUAUUCGUGUUUUAUUCACAUCCAUAUGUGUUGAAUUUGAGAACUUCAAUGCCAUGGAAUACCAAAGGAAGGCUUCACAAUGGUUGGCUAAGUGGCAAAAAGUAUAAACUGCUAGACUGACACGUCCAAUUCAGGAGCUGUACAUCAUGCAAAUUCAGCUCUUCAAAAUCCUGUGAUUGUCUCUAAGCACAGCUCGUAUCCAUUACUUUUCAGAUAUGAGACAAAGAGGCUUGACAUGUUAACUAAACAACACAUGUCAGUGGCUUUCUGCUGAUUUAAUUCUUAAUAUGUGCACAGCAUAUGAAUCCAUCUAGUUGACUGACGGAUUAGCAGAACUAUUUUCUGAAGGAAAACAACAGAACUUACCUCCCUAGUGUAAAAUUUCACAGCAAAACCUCGGGGGUCCCUGAGGGUUUCAGGACUUCCACGCUCAUGAAUAACAGUUGAGAAACGGACAAUGACAGGUGUCUGAACUCCUGGAGCACGAAGAAAAUCAGCACAAGUGAGAUUAGAAAUGUCAUGAGUGACCUCAAAGAAGCCCUUGGCACUGGCUCCCCUUGCAUGAACUACACGCUCCGGAAUCCGCUCACGGUCGAAAUUUGCAAGUUUCUCCACCAAAUGAUAAUCCUCGAGAAGAACCGGACCUGGCACAUGAAGAAGACGAAAAGCUAAAUACUUGUAAUCACAAAAUGCCAUAUUAAAAUAAAGGGAUAAUUUCAGAAACCUCCCUGAGGUUUCUGACAAUUUUACUGAACUCCCUUGAGGUUUAAAAAAUUACAUAUACCUUCCUUAUCAUUUAAAAUGACAAUUUUACUCUUAAAUAUUUUAAUGAAAUCUCCUUAUUUGGUAUGCUUAAUGCUUAAAAUUAUUUUUUCAUUCUUUUCCUUCUUAUUCCUUUUUUUAAUUUUUCGCUAAUAAAACUAUAGAACUACCACUAUUGCCUCUAGUUUCUAUUAUAACCAAAUGUCGAACUAGUGAUUUUUUUUGACGAGUUAAUUUUAUAUGCUAUCCAAUGUUUUUGUUAAUCUUUGUUUUCUAUUUUUUGGUAUUAAAAUUAACAAUAAAUCAAAAAGAAAUGGCCUAAAAGCAUUAUUAAAUUAUGAUAAUUGCACUACUCCAAAAAUUCAUAAAUUAUAAAUGAAUAUUUCAGCAUUUUCUUUUCUAUCUUAUAAAUCUAAAUCUACAAUAGAAUACCAUCAAAAGUAUCAUAUCAUAGUAAUAAAUUAUUAUCAUAGUUGUUUAUAGUAAAUAUGGACAUGAAAAUUUUGGCACCUUUUCCUUAUAAUUGUACUAAAUAAUCUUAUAAUUAUAUAGGGAAAUAAAUUAAAAAUCAUUACACAAGGGCAUUUUUGGGUAUUCAUUUAAAAAACUGACCAAGUCAAUAUUAUUUUAAGGUUUUGUUACUAAAACUAUCAAAUUCAAGAGAGGUAAGUGUAAUUUUCCAAACCAUAGGGGAGCUCAAUGAAAUAGUCAAAAACCCCGGGGGAGGUUUCUGAAAUUAUCCCUAAGAUAAACCAGGUGGUUGUUGUCACAAUAAGGUUUCAAUAUCAGAAUAUUAAAAUUAAAAACUAAUUGUAUGUCUACGUUCAGGACUUCUUAACGUAUUUAUUUCAUUAAAUAACAGGAAAUUUCUGAUAAAGACCUCAUAGCAUUUAGGAUAUAGAGGAAACAAAUAGAUAUAGGUAAAACCAAAAUGAGUUUUUGUGAAUUUCGUAUUCUUCAAGCUACUGCAUCUAAUGAGUAAAAAAUAACAGCAAGUCAUAACACAAGAUUCAAUCCCAAAAUAAACCAAACAAUGACAUUUCUAACAAUAAGAAAUUCAAUGCGAAACGGGGGAUAAAAUUGCAUAAACAAUAAGAAUCUUAGAUCAUAGAAAAGAAAGGAAAGAAAACAGUAUAAGCACCUCUGGUUCCAACGGUGAGAGAGGAGUUAUUGUUCCAGACGGAGGCACCAGAAUUGGUUGUCCAGAAGGGAGAAUUGAAAGCACUCGAUGGCCGAUACUACACAAAUCACAAAGGACCAAAUACAAACUCUCCAAUCAUUAGAAAUAACUAAAACACGCUAAACCUCAGCGUUACUAUAAAAGAUAGGAAGUUUGGAAUUUUCACCGAAAAAAAAAAUUGAGAUUUUCAUUUUAUCUAAUCGGGUGAGAGCUAAGCAUAAAAAAGUUAAAAUGGAAGCUAAGAAUUACGAAAUUUUUUCUCAGAAGCGAUUACUGGCGAAAGAAAAAAAAUGAGUUGCUCAGAAAUCCGUGAUGGCCAUGGAAAGCGGCAAAAUUAGACCUCGACUUCGACUUAAAAAAUGAACGAAUUCAACAUCAGCUCGUCCAAAUUACAUGAGCGGAUGGUGCAGAUAUAUUACCUUGCAUGGAUCCAUUGCUACAGUCAGCGAAGGGGCGGUGGGUGGCGAUAGAUUUUUGGCUGGGGAUAAAGCAAGUCGGGAAGGGGAAUGGCAAUCACCGUCUUUCGAAAAAACCAAAAGACCCACGAAUUUAUUGAUAAAAUUAGGAGUGGGUCCCGUCCCGAGGCUCGCAUUUCUAGCUUAUCCACUGCCUAGCACGCAGACGCAGUGCCCAAUCCAAGAGCCAAUCUUUUUUUUUUUUUUUCCUAAUUGCUUCAACAAAGUGAGAAAAAAAAAAUUCAUUCGUAGGUGAAUUUUUCAGGUCAGGAUAUAAUCGCCAAUUUAAACUUUCCCCAUCCUGAUCCUAUUGUCCAAAUUCCUAGUUUUUAUUUGGAUUAUUUUAUCGGAUUCCUUCAAGCCAUCCUCCGUAUAUUUAAAUUUCAUCCAAUCCAUCAUCUAAUCCGUCGCGUGUCUAUAUCUAUAUAUAUUGAUACGCCAGGGUCCAUUACUAGUUUAAGACGGUAGGGUCAUCCACUGCAGACAAUGCCCGCUCACAAGCCAGCCUUCCCACGCCCAGUUCAAACGAAUACUUUUUCACUUUGAUGGGUUAUUGCAUGACAUGGAUCGCAACCAAGUCUGCCCCUUUCCCACCCGAAAGUAUAUAUAUACAUGUGUGUGGAUACAUAAAACAACCACGGCAGCCCCGGGAAUUAAUCAGAAGCUGCGUCACUGCACGCUAGCGUCAUUUCCUCCCUCCACUAAGCCAAGAAAAAGAGAGGGAGAAGACGGUUCCGCCGUACAUGGCGGCACCAAAACUGUCGAGGGCAUCCCUACCCAGAUACCAACCAUUCAGAGCGCCCUCCCAACCUCAUUGGCAGAACAGCUGGAUGUGGGGUUGAGAGUUGCAUGCAUGAAGGUCGCAAUUGGGGAAAAGCUGCGGGUACCUUCACACAUACUUGAUCCCCAAAAUAUAUACACCCUCAAAAAUGCCACAAGAGCACCUUCCAGGUAUAUUGGCAGUCGCCCAAAGGACACGAGUGGGCAAUGUCAAAUCUAUUCACAGAAGUUAUCCUCCACAAUUCAAUGGAGAAGGAAAAUUGUUUUUUUGGGUUGGCGGUUUUUUGGGGAGGGGGGGUUUGGAGGAAGAUGCAUGAUCAAGUAAAUCCUCGCACAGAGAACCGUUAUUUAUUUAACACCGGGACAUAAUUUCAGUUUAAACCAGACAUGGAAGCCUGUUCGGUACAUAAUACAACACACUGACUGAAGCACACUGAAGGACACCAUCAACCUCUCCGAGAACAAACACUCCCUAGCCCGUAAGCCACCAGGAACAUUUAUGGCCUUCACAUUGUUGGUCUUACAUUGAGACGAGUAGCCAUUUUCUGACCAAGAGAUUUGUCAGCCUGCAAGACAAUCAAGUACUGAAUCAGCAAAACCUACAUUUUUUCCCAAGGCUAGACUACUACAGAUGCAAGUUAGAAAAAAACAGGGAGGUAUGUAGACAUGAAAAUCAGACCUGAGACCAGUAUGAAAUCCAGAUACUGCGGAUCUCAUGGGUGACUCGUGCAUCAGAUAAAAUAUCAACCCAUCGGCAGAUAAAUCUCUCUUGCCUGAGGAACACGGAUCAAUCAGAACUCCAGAAAAAUGAAACGCAUACCAUCAGUCAAAGAGCCAUUAAGCAGUAAGCACCAAGAAAUACCUGUCAGGUGCCCAGGAUCGGUAUCUCUCUCCCGCUUGCUUGAAGUUGUUCUCCUUCGGAAUAACACACUGCAAAAAAAAAACCCACAAAUUUUAGGGUCACAUCAUAUCAUAUUUCACCAAUCCAAAGGUCCAGCAGGACCAAAGACAAUUCCAAAAUUCAAAGAGAAAUUCCAAUCCAUCAGCUAAGAACAAAGGCACUUGAGGAGAAGGCAUGUAGACCUCCAAAGAUCCCAUGCAAGAAAAGAAACUAUAGCAAGUACCAUUAGCAGAAAAAGCAAUAGCUCAAUGGCUGGCAUCCAUAGUUUGCUCACAGGAAAACAGAUAAUGUCAUGUUCAAGAAAGGGAGUAAGUUCUACUCGUUAAUGUUCAGUAUAUCGCUUCAAAGGAGGACAGUUUGCAGCAGAGCAACUAAGGGCCUAUUCUCAAAUAAUUCCAAAUACCUGAUUUUAGCUUUUGAUUCUUAAGAAGUUAGUUUCUCUCUGUUGUCAAUUGCCUUUUAAAACCUGCUUUUGGCUUUUUUGGAGCAAAAUAGAUGAAAAUCAGAAGCGGCAAAACAGCUGCUUUUGGUACCAAUUCUGCCAAUUAUGAAAACUAGAAGCGAUUGAGAACAGACCACAAAAUUCAAGACCUAUUUAUCACUUUCUUCCUCCUACUCAUCUACAUGCACUCUCUCCUAUUUUAGGAGAGAGGAGGGGGAGGGAGGGGAGAAGCAAAGAUUGUGUAUCAUAUAUUCUUCAAAUCCCAAGAUGAAGUUAUUAAGAGAACCGAUUUCCCCAGAUUUGAUUAACUGCAUAAAGGUAUCAAUUUUUUUUCCAUAGUUCCUUUAUCUAGAUUCAAACAACAGCAAGAGCCUGAAAGUAAGCAAAUCUACUCAUAGAAACUCACCCUGUCACGCUUUCCUCUCAGGACAGUAGAGGGGAUGGGAUGCCUCGCAGCAUGACGAACAGGAUCGAACCUUGAAGGGAAAUAAUCGACCUGAAAAAACAUUGAACAAAAAAGUUUAGUACAACUAAGCAUAAGAUAAGCCCAUUUUAACUCCCAUUCACAAAGUCCCUAAGCCAAAAAAAAAAAAACUGAAGUGAUUUUAUUGUAAAGCAACUACACAACAAAGUUGGAAAAACAGAAUGGGUACUACUUCUGGCAUUUUUUCAUUUUUCAAACUGUCCUCUAUGCCUUGAGUCAUGACCAAUAUGUUAUAAGAUAGCUUUCCACUCAACUCUUAUUUACCCACUAAUUCUUCAUAACCUAUUUAUUUCACACAUAGAAUUUCCAUUUUCACAGUACAUAAAAAUGAAGAACAUCGAUCUAUCUGUCGGUGACUUCUUAUCUCCAAUCUUGAACAUCUACAAGUUUUCAUAUCAACCACCAAGUUUAUAUUCACAACCACCUCAUGUCACAAAAAUGGUAUCUAAUGAAAAGUUACUUUAUACCAGCAACCAGUCAUAGAUAAUUAUAUUUACUAAAUCACAUAAAAUGUAACCUUAAAUGCUGAGUUUAACCAGGAAACUAACUGGUAUAAAGAACAAGCAGGAUGUCCUCAAAAUGAAGACCAAAUUAGAGAACGAGGCAUAAUUUGCGGUUCAUUAUUACCAAAAGAGGGAUCAGUACCUCUUCAUCCCGGUGCAUGAAGUUCAUGAAACCAUCAUAGUGAUUGUUGUGAUGAGCACACUUGGGAGCAUUUACUGGAAGCUGCAUAUAGUUUGGGCCAAGACGGUGUCGCUGGGUAUCACCAUAUGCGAAUAUACGAGUCUGGAGCAGCUUGUCCUCUGUAUAAUAUAUCCCAGGUACAACAAAGGCAGGGUUAAAUGCAAGCUGCUCGGUCUCAGCAAAGUAGUUGUCAAUAUUCUUGUUCAAUACCAACCGGCCCACAGGUUGCAAAGGCAAAAUAUCUUCAGGCCAGAUCUUGCUUACAUCAAGCGGAUCAAAAUCAAACCGAUCUUCAUGAUCAGGAUCCAUAAUCUGGAUAAAAAGUCUCCACUCCGGAUAGUUUCCAGCAGCAAUUGAGUCAUAGAGAUCCUGGGUAGCAUGGCUAUGAUUUGAUCCUCCAACCUUAAUAGCUUCUUCCUCCAACAGGUUCUUCACUCCACAGGUUGGCUUCCAGUGGAACUUCACAUAAUGAGCUUUUCCAGCCUUGUCGAUCAGAGUGUAAGCAUGGACGCCAAAGCCUUCCAUAUGCCUGUAAUCUUGUGGAAUGCCGACAUCAUCUAAGAAGAAAGCAAACGUAAGCAAGCUCUCAGGAUGAUAGGAGAAGAAAUCAAGGAUUCUCCAAUACUCCUGGAUGUGGGUCUUUGGAUUUGGUUUCAGAGCAUGGAUCGAAUCUGGGAAUUUCAUUGCAUCACGAACAAAAAAGACGGGGGUAUUGUUUCCCACCAAAUCGAAAUUACCCUAUCCAGAUGCACAAAGCAACCAUCAGCAGCUUAUCAAGAGUGUCCAAGAAAAUGCAGACCAAGAACUACAUAAAACACCAACCACAUAAUCCAAGUCCCCUGAGAUCAUCUAUUGUGCCCGGAAAGCUUAUGUCCCUAGUUGUGGUGCUUACAAGUUAAUUGAAUGGAUAAGCUGCAUCUUGCUACUAAAUCAACAUACGCUUUCAGAAGGGGAAGCUCCCAAUUUUUACAACGCCAAAGUGUGCUAUGUGUGUGGUGGAGGGCAACAAAGUUAGGACAACUAUUAGUCGUGUUUUAUUCACAUCCAUAUGUGUUGAAUUUGAGAACUUCAAUGCCAUGGAAUACCAAAGGAAGGCUUCACAAUGGUUGGCUAAUUGGCAAAAAUUAUAAAUUGCUAGAAUGACACGUCCAAUUGAGCAGCUGUACAUCAUGCAAAUUCAGCUCUUCAAAAUUCUGUGAUUGUCUCUAAGAACAACUCGUAUCCAUUACUUUCCAGAUAUGAGACAAAGAGGCUUGACAUGUUAACUAAACAACACAUGUCAGUGGCUUUCUGCUGAUUUAAUUCUUAAUAUGUGCGCAGCAUAUGAAUCCAUCUAGUUGACUGACGGAUUAGCAGAACUAUUUUCUGAAGGAAAACAACAGAACUUACCUCCCUAGUGUAAAAUUUCACAG